This 72-nucleotide transfer RNA is filed under the name Patescibacteria group bacterium. RNAcentral's name for it is "tRNA-Phe". It matches the Rfam family "tRNA". Rfam says of the family: Transfer RNA (tRNA) molecules are approximately 80 nucleotides in length. Their secondary structure includes four short double-helical elements and three loops (D, anti-codon, and T loops). The record is from RNAcentral.
GCCGCGGUAGCUCAGUGGUAGAGCAAACGACUGAAAAUCGUUGGGUCGCCAGUUCAAUUCUGGCCCGCGGCA